GAUGAACGCUGGCGGCGUGCUUAACACAUGCAAGUCGAACGAUGAAGCCCAGCUUGCUGGAGUGGAUCAGUGGCGAACGGGUGAGUAACACGUGAGCAACCUGCCCCUGACUCUGGAAUAAGCGCUGGAAACGGCGUCUAAUACUGGAUACGAGAAGGGUCCGCAUGGGCACUUUCUGGAAAGUUUUUCGGUUGGGGAUGGGCUCGCGGCCUAUCAGCUUGUUGGUGAGGUAAUGGCUCACCAAGGCGACGACGGGUAGCCGGCCUGAGAGGGCGACCGGCCACACUGGGACUGAGACACGGCCCAGACUCCUACGGGAGGCAGCAGUGGGGAAUAUUGCACAAUGGGCGAAAGCCUGAUGCAGCGACGCCGCGUGAGGGAUGACGGCCUUCGGGUUGUAAACCUCUUUCAGCAGGGAAGAAGCGAAAGUGACGGUACCUGCAGAAGAAGCACCGGCUAACUACGUG
Molecule: ribosomal RNA, 467 nt
Filed under: uncultured bacterium
Lineage: Bacteria
Description: partial 16S ribosomal RNA
Rfam family: Bacterial small subunit ribosomal RNA
Source: RNAcentral